This 265-nucleotide ribosomal RNA is filed under the name uncultured bacterium. Its description in RNAcentral is "partial 16S ribosomal RNA". It matches the Rfam family "Bacterial small subunit ribosomal RNA", at positions 793 to 1055 of the family's 1533-position model. The record is from RNAcentral.
GUCCACGCCGUAAACGAUGAAUACUAGGUGUCGGGGGUCAUAAGACCCUCGGUGCCGCAGCUAACGCAAUAAGUAUUCCACCUGGGGAGUACGUUCGCAAGAAUGAAACUCAAAGGAAUUGACGGGGACCCCGCACAAGCGGUGGAGCAUGUGGUUUAAUUCGAAGCAACGCGAAGAACCUUACCAGGUCUUGACAUCCCGAUGAUCGGCAUUUAACUUUGCCUUUUCUUCGGAACAUCGGUGACAGGUGGUGCAUGGUUGUCGU